This 1680-nucleotide long non-coding RNA is filed under the name Ursus maritimus (polar bear). Its description in RNAcentral is "lncRNA (ENSUMAG00000024259.1)". Lineage: Eukaryota; Metazoa; Chordata; Mammalia; Carnivora; Ursidae. The record is from RNAcentral.
CUUUACUCUUUCCGAGCACCCAACGCAUUUUGGAGACAGCUGUGCACCCCAACCUUUACACCGUCAUCGCAGCCCCUGCAGCGUGUUGCGAGGUGCAAGUCCUUGCACACCUGGGUGAAAUUCGUGGGUGGCGGAGACAAAACGGCAGAGAACCAGGCGACCGGAGACAGAGCCGCAGAGUCGCCCUGGUCCCGCCCACCGCCCUCUCCGCACUCCCGCUCAGCCCCCUCCCUGCUUCCUGUCCUCUGGACCCGGCAGCUCUGGAUCUCUCUGGAUCGCCCGGAGCGGCCUUCAGUUCUGCACCUGAGGAAGUUAAGCCGGCGGUGGAAAGUUCCCUGGGCCCAGCUUGCUCACCAACCGCCCGAACCUCCCUCACCCGCAUCGGAAAGGAAAGUGUGUUUGCUGCCCUGUGAACCAAGUAUGCAGCGAGGAAUGCUACCUUUUAUUUAUUUUUUUUUUAAAGAUUUAUUUAUUUAUUCGAUCCCAGAACGCCGGGAUCAUGCCCUGAGCCGAAGGCAGACGCCCAGCCGCUGUGCCACCCAGGCGCCCCGAGGAAUGCUACCUUUUAGGAUGAAUUCACAGAGCAACUGAACUGAGCUGAACUUUUUUUUUUUUUCUUUCGUUCUGAAGGCCUCUGGGGAAGUUGAUAAAGUUAUGAUUUAUCGUUUUGCAAGGGACAUUCCAAAACAGCAGUUUGUUUAAUUUUAAUUUUUUUUUUUUUUUUAAAGACAAGUAAAGGUCACAGAGACCAACUCAACUUUUAAUCUCAUUUCAGGAGGGUUGUUUUGAAAAGAGGGGUAUUUAGGGGCUCCUGGCUGGCUCCCUCGGUAGCGCCUGUGACUCUUGAUUUUGGGGGUGCUGAGUUCAAGCCCCACCUUGGGCACAGAGGUUAUUAAAAAAAAAAAAAAGGAUAUUUAAAGAAAUUGGGAGCCUUUUAUUUGUCAAGAAUAGUUUCAAAAAAUAACUGAAACUAUAUAAUAAUAUCUCAAUACAUUCUGAGUGUUAAAAAAAUCACUAUGUAGUAAAAGGUUUAUGGAAAAAAUGGAUUUCAGAAGGGACAUCCAAAAUAAUCAGUGGGCAUCGUCAUCAAACAUAAUUAAAGGCCGGUUAAGGAAACAGGGUGAUAAGUUUUAGAAACAUCAGAAUCCUAAAACCAAAUUCUCAGUUCUGGUCCACAGCUUCCUAUAUGCCUGAGCUCGUUUUUUGUUUUUUUUUUUUUAAUUGAAUUUUUAGCAACCAGCUGAGGCCUCUGCUUCCUUCAAGUAUGGGACAAUCCUAGUUACUUCCUCCUACUCCUUCCCUCCCGUGGGCCCAGAGGGCAAAAAAUUUCCCCCUUUUAAACGCUGAUACCGUGUGAGAGCCACUGCUUUUUCCCCAAGCUGGGGGUAGGCCUUUUCUCAAUUUUCAUAUGUAUCAGUUCCCCCUAUCCCCCACGGCUGCAAAAGCAAGUCUUCGUUCCUAACCAUGGCUUUGCAAACCUUCGCUUGGUUAGAAAGGUCUACCUUCUGCAAAACAGAAAUGGCAUUUUAAGAAUUUUAGUUGGUAGAUAAACACAUCUAAAGGUUGUGAUAGCUCUUGAGAUCCUCAUUCCCAACUUCAUCUUUAAUUGAGAGGUCCAAUCUUAACUAGAACUUAAAUGAAAACUCGAAAUAAAAAAUUAAAAAAAAGAAGAAAGUUCCA